This 549-nucleotide ribosomal RNA is filed under the name uncultured bacterium. RNAcentral describes it as "partial 16S ribosomal RNA". It matches the Rfam family "Bacterial small subunit ribosomal RNA", at positions 355 to 895 of the family's 1533-position model. The record is from RNAcentral.
UGGGGAAUUUUGGACAAUGGGCGAAAGCCUGAUCCAGCAAUGCCGCGUGUGUGAAGAAGGCCUUCGGGUUGUAAAGCACUUUUGUCCGGAAAGAAAUCCUUGGCUCUAAUACAGUCGGGGGAUGACGGUACCGGAAGAAUAAGCACCGGCUAACUACGUGCCAGCAGCCGCGGUAAUACGUAGGGUGCAAGCGUUAAUCGGAAUUACUGGGCGUAAAGCGUGCGCAGGCGGUUUGCUAAGACCGAUGUGAAAUCCCCGGGCUCAACCUGGGAACUGCAUUGGUGACUGGCAGGCUAGAGUAUGGCAGAGGGGGGUUAGAAUUCCACGUGUAGCAGUGAAAUGCGUAGAGAUGUGGAGGAAUACCGAUGGCGAAGGCAGCCCCCUGGGCCAAUACUGACGCUCAUGCACGAAAGCGUGGGGAGCAAACAGGAUUAGAUACCCUGGUAGUCCACGCCCUAAACGAUGUCAACUAGUUGUUGGGGAUUCAUUUUCCUUAGUAACGUAGCUAACGCGUGAAGUUGACCGCCUGGGGAGUACGGUCGCAAGAUU